UACGUAGGGGGCCAGCGUUGCUCGGAUUCAUUGGGCGUAAAGGGUGCGUAGGUGGCGGGGUAAGUCGGAUGUGAAAUCCCGGGGCUCAACCCCGGAACUGCAUUCGGUACUGCCUUGCUCGAGUACUGGAGAGGAGAUUGGAAUUUACGGUGUAGCAGUGAAAUGCGUAGAUAUCGUAAGGAAGACCAGUGGCGAAGGCGAAUCUCUGGACAGUUACUGACACUGAGGCACGAAGGCCAGGGGAGCAAACGGG
Molecule: ribosomal RNA, 253 nt
Filed under: uncultured bacterium
Lineage: Bacteria
Description: partial 16S ribosomal RNA
Rfam family: Bacterial small subunit ribosomal RNA
Source: RNAcentral